This 499-nucleotide ribosomal RNA is filed under the name uncultured bacterium. RNAcentral's name for it is "bacterial SSU rRNA". It matches the Rfam family "Bacterial small subunit ribosomal RNA", at positions 9 to 490 of the family's 1533-position model. The record is from RNAcentral.
GAGUUUGAUCCUGGCUCAGGAUGAACGCUGGCGGCGUGCCUAAUACAUGCAAGUCGAGCGAACAGAUAAGGAGCUUGCUCCUUUGAAGUUAGCGGCGGACGGGUGAGUAACACGUGGGUAACCUACCUAUAAGACUGGGAUAACUUCGGGAAACCGGAGCUAAUACCGGAUAAUAUUUAGAACCGCAUGGUUCUAAAGUGAAAGAUGGUUUUGCUAUCACUUAUAGAUGGACCCGCGCCGUAUUAGCUAGUUGGUAAGGUAACGGCUUACCAAGGCGACGAUACGUAGCCGACCUGAGAGGGUGAUCGGCCACACUGGAACUGAGACACGGUCCAGACUCCUACGGGAGGCAGCAGUAGGGAAUCUUCCGCAAUGGGCGAAAGCCUGACGGAGCAACGCCGCGUGAGUGAUGAAGGGUUUCGGCUCGUAAAACUCUGUUAUUAGGGAAGAACAAAUGUGUAAGUAACUGUGCACAUCUUGACGGUACCUAAUCAGAAAG